RNAcentral lists this ribosomal RNA (476 nucleotides) under uncultured bacterium. RNAcentral describes it as "bacterial SSU rRNA". It matches the Rfam family "Bacterial small subunit ribosomal RNA", at positions 501 to 982 of the family's 1533-position model. The record is from RNAcentral.
CUACGUGCCAGCAGCCGCGGUAAUACAUAGGGGGCGAGCGUUAUCCGGAAUUAUUGGGUGUAAAGGGUGCGUAGGCGGAAGAUUAAGUUUUAGGUAUAAAUGCGCUGCUCAACGGCGUAUUGCUUAAAAAACUGGUCAACUAGAGUGAGGCAGAGGCAAGUGGAAUUCCAUGUGUAGUGGUAAAAUGCGUAAAUAUAUGGAGGAACACCAGUGGCGAAGGCGGCUUGCUGGGCCUAAACUGACGCUCAUGCACGAAAGCGUGGGGAGCAAACAGGAUUAGAUACCCUGGUAGUCCACGCCGUAAACGAUGGAUGCUAGGUGUUUGGGGAGACCUAAGUGCCGCAGUUAACGCAGUAAGCAUCCCACCUGAGUAGUACGUGCGCAAGCAUAAAACUCAAAGGAAUUGGCGGGACCUCGCACAAGCGGUGGAUCAUGUUGUUUAAUUCGUGGAUACGCGAAAAACCUUACCAGGUCUU